RNAcentral lists this ribosomal RNA (1611 nucleotides) under Rugamonas fusca. Its description in RNAcentral is "partial 23S ribosomal RNA". It matches the Rfam family "Bacterial large subunit ribosomal RNA", at positions 1252 to 2860 of the family's 2925-position model. Lineage: Bacteria; Pseudomonadati; Pseudomonadota; Betaproteobacteria; Burkholderiales; Oxalobacteraceae. The record is from RNAcentral.
GAAGGUGGCUUGUAAAGGCUGCUGGAGGUAUCAGAAGUGCGAAUGCUGACAUGAGUAGCGAUAAUGGGGGUGAAAAGCCCCCACGCCGUAAGCCCAAGGUUUCCUGUUCAACGUUCAUCGGAGCAGGGUGAGUCGGCCCCUAAGGCGAGGCAGAGAUGCGUAGCUGAUGGGAAGCAGGUUAAUAUUCCUGCACCGUCGUAUGAUGCGAUGGGGGGACGGAUCGCGGAAGGUUGUCCAACUGUUGGAAUAGUUGGUUCCUGUUUCAUAGAAGGCGCUUAGGCAAAUCCGGGCGCGUAAUUCAAGGGAAUGGGACGAGGAGCUUAGGCUCUGAAGCAAUCGGAAGUGGUUCCAAGAAAAGCCUCUAAGCUUCAGUCAUACGAGACCGUACCGCAAACCGACACAGGUGGGCGAGAUGAGUAUUCUAAGGCGCUUGAGAGAACUCGGGAGAAGGAACUCGGCAAAUUGGUACCGUAACUUCGGGAAAAGGUACGCCCCGGUAGCUUGACCACUUUACUGUGGAAGGGUGAAAGGGUUGCAAUAAACUGGUGGCUGCGACUGUUUAAUAAAAACACAGCACUCUGCAAACACGAAAGUGGACGUAUAGGGUGUGACGCCUGCCCGGUGCUGGAAGAUUAAAUGAUGGGGUGCAAGCUCUUGAUUGAAGUCCCAGUAAACGGCGGCCGUAACUAUAACGGUCCUAAGGUAGCGAAAUUCCUUGUCGGGUAAGUUCCGACCUGCACGAAUGGCGUAACGAUGGCCACACUGUCUCCUCCCGAGACUCAGCGAAGUUGAAGUGUUUGUGAUGAUGCAAUCUACCCGCGGCUAGACGGAAAGACCCCAUGAACCUUUACUGUAGCUUUGCAUUGGACUUUGAACCAAUCUGUGUAGGAUAGGUGGGAGGCUUAGAAGCGGGGACGCCAGUUCUCGUGGAGCCAACCUUGAAAUACCACCCUGGUUUGUUUGAGGUUCUAACCUUGGCCCGUUAUCCGGGUCGGGGACAGUGCAUGGUAGGCAGUUUGACUGGGGCGGUCUCCUCCUAAAGUGUAACGGAGGAGUUCGAAGGUACGCUAGGUACGGUCGGACAUCGUGCUAAUAGUGCAAUGGCAUAAGCGUGCUUAACUGCGAGACUGACAAGUCGAGCAGGUACGAAAGUAGGACAUAGUGAUCCGGUGGUUCUGUAUGGAAGGGCCAUCGCUCAACGGAUAAAAGGUACUCUGGGGAUAACAGGCUGAUUCCUCCCAAGAGUUCAUAUCGACGGGGGAGUUUGGCACCUCGAUGUCGGCUCAUCACAUCCUGGGGCUGUAGCCGGUCCCAAGGGUAUGGCUGUUCGCCAUUUAAAGUGGUACGUGAGCUGGGUUUAAAACGUCGUGAGACAGUUUGGUCCCUAUCUGCCGUGGGCGUUGGAAAUUUGAAGGGGGCUGCUCCUAGUACGAGAGGACCGGAGUGGACGAACCUCUGGUGUACCGGUUGUCACGCCAGUGGCAUUGCCGGGUAGCUAAGUUCGGAAGAGAUAACCGCUGAAAGCAUCUAAGCGGGAAACUUGCCUUAAGAUGAGAUUUCCCGGAGCCUUGAGCUCCUUGAAGGGUCGUUCGAGACCAGGACGUUGAUAGG